UUCGACUGUCUGAGGGUCGG
RNAcentral lists this ribosomal RNA (20 nucleotides) under Bothriocroton concolor (echidna tick). RNAcentral's name for it is "partial 5.8S ribosomal RNA". Lineage: Eukaryota; Metazoa; Arthropoda; Arachnida; Ixodida; Ixodidae. The record is from RNAcentral.